This 2091-nucleotide ribosomal RNA is filed under the name Triticum aestivum (bread wheat). Its description in RNAcentral is "partial small subunit ribosomal RNA". The record is from RNAcentral. Lineage: Eukaryota; Viridiplantae; Streptophyta; Magnoliopsida; Poales; Poaceae.
AUGGACGCAACCGAGCGCCGCCUCCGCGCCGUCUCCGCCCACCUCCAGCCCCAAGCAACCGCCGCCCGCCGCACCUCCGAUAGCCUCGCCGCCAAUCCCACCGCAGGGGAGUACGCCCACGUGCUUGGCUACAGCGCUGUCCUCCCCGAGAAGUUGCAGACUGGAAAAUGGAACGUGUACCGAUCUGCACAUUCACCUAUAACUCUGAUAGAUAGAUUUUCAGACUACCCAGACAUUGGGACGUUGCACGAUAACUUUGUGAAUGCAGUUGAGACUUUCAGAGACUGUAGAUACCUAGGUACAAGGGUCCAUGCAGAUGGAACAAUUGGAGACUACAAAUGGAUGACUUAUGGAGAAGCUGGCACAAGCAGGACUGCAAUAGGUUCUGGUCUUAUUUGUCAUGGAAUACCUAAAGGCGCACGUGUUGGUCUGUAUUUUAUAAACAGACCUGAGUGGACCAUAGUUGACAAUGCUUGUUCUGCGUAUUCAUAUGUUUCUGUGCCACUAUAUGAUACUCUUGGUCCAGAUGCAGUUCAGUUCAUUGUGAACCAUGCAUCAGUAGAGGCUAUCUUCUGUGUUCCUGAAACACUAAGCACUUUGUUAAGCUUUAUAACUCAAAUGCCUUGUGUGCGCCUUAUCGUGGUAGUUGGUGGAAUCGAGGAGAAUAUGCCAUCUUCACCUGCAGCUGCUGGAAUGGAAAUCAUAACCUACUCCAUGCUACACAGACAGGGACAUAUGAGUCCCCAACCCUUUCGGCCUCCAAAACCUGAAGAUGUUGCCACUAUCUGCUACACUAGUGGCACUACUGGCACACCAAAGGGAGCUGUUCUUUCUCAUGCGAAUUUCAUUGCAAAUGUAGCAGGCCAGGACUUGGGCGUUAAGUUUUACCCCUCGGACGUGUACAUCUCAUAUCUACCUUUGGCACACAUCUACGAGAGAACUAACCAAAUAUGGCUCGUUCAUCGCGGUGCUGCCGUUGGGUUCUACCAAGGGGAUAAUUUGAAGCUGAUGGAUGAUCUUAAUACUCUGAAACCAACAGUAUUUGCGAGUGUUCCCCGGUUAUAUAACAAAAUUUAUGCUGCAAUUACAAAUGCUGUGAAGGAGUCUGGUGGGUUGAAAGAACGAUUAUUUCAUGCUGCAUAUGAUGCUAAGAGGCAAGCUAUUAUCAAUGGACGGAAUCCAUCCCCAGUGUGGGAUAAGUUGGUAUUUAACAAAAUAAAAGCUAGGCUGGGUGGACGAGUAAGGGUUAUGUCUUCAGGUGCUUCUCCAUUGUCGCCAGAUGUAAUGGAAUUCCUCAGAAUAUGCUUUGGUGGUGAUAUUCUUGAAGGCUACGGAAUGACGGAAACAUCUUGUGUCAUUACUUUAAUGGAUGUUGGUGAUAUAUCAAUUGGUCAUGUUGGAUCUCCCAAUCCUGCUUGUGAGGUUAAACUUGUGGAUGUCCCUGAGAUGAACUACACAUCUGAGGAUCAACCAUACCCUCGUGGAGAAAUAUGUGCCCGGGGACCUAUAAUAUUCCAGGGUUACUAUAAAGAUGAAGUUCAAACCAGAGAGGUCAUUGAUGAGGAUGGUUGGUUGCAUACUGGGGACAUAGGUUUGUGGCUGCCUGGAGGGCGCCUAAAGAUUAUAGACAGGAAAAAGAACAUUUUCAAGUUAGCUCAAGGAGAAUACAUAGCUCCGGAGAAGAUCGAGAAUGUUUAUGCCAAGUGCAAGUUCAUUGCCCAGUGCUUUGUAUAUGGCGAUAGCUUUAAUUCUUGCCUAGUUGCCGUCGUAGCAGUUGAGCCAGAGGUGUUGAAGAGUUGGGCUGCAUUAGAAGGAAUCCAGUAUGAGGAUUUAAGACAGCUCUGUUCUGAUCCCAGAGCAAGAGCUGCUGUGCUGGCUGACAUGGAUUCUAUUGGGAAGGAAGCACAGCUAAGAGGUUUUGAGUUUGUCAAAGCUGUUACUCUUGUUGCUGAACCAUUCACACUAGAAAAUGGCCUCCUCACCCCAACAUUCAAGGUCAAAAGACCGCAAGCAAAGGCGUAUUUUGCAAAAGAAAUCACAGAUAUGUAUGCACAAUUGCUUGAUGCAGAGUCAGCCAAGCCUAAGUUGUAA